This is a long non-coding RNA of Sarcophilus harrisii (Tasmanian devil), 3062 nucleotides long. RefSeq lists it as uncharacterized. The transcript has 2 exons. The record is from RefSeq and is a predicted model, not a curated record. Lineage: Eukaryota; Metazoa; Chordata; Mammalia; Dasyuromorphia; Dasyuridae.
GCUGGUUUCCAUUUACCACCCACUUUUGUUGGGAUCCCUGACCCGUAGGGGCGGCGCAAAAGGGAGUCCCCUAGGCAGCUCGUUGUCCUUAUACCUAGAUUUGCACGGAGGACUUGAUUCCAGUUCCUUUCAAAGCGGGCAGCUCAGGGAGAUGGCUCAUGGCCACGGGCCAGAGACUCGGGGAGUUGCGAGUGGAAGAGUCCGACAUGUACUGAGGAGAGCGGCGAGCUGGGCCGGGCCGGGGAGGUUAGAAAGCACCGCUUUGCAGCGAAGGGCUGUGCACGCACAGGGACACGCGCACCACGCGUCCCCCCCCCUGCCCGGACUCGGCAUCCCGGAAGAGAAGCCCUUUCGGUCCCCGGCCGGGAGUAAGCAGUCCGCCCGAAGCCCAUCCGGGAAAGUCAGGUCCCCAAUUCCUGGCAAAUGCCCAGGGAGCACCUCCUCUGACGGAGCCGCACCCCGUGCCACCGGCUUCUCCGAGACUUUCUGUCCGGGAAAUGAGAAUGGGGCGCGGACAGCUACCUGGAGGCAAGAAGCCGGCUCUGCCCCUAACCAAGAUGGUGGCCCGGAUGAGGGGAGGGAGCUGAGGUGCCGGUGAAGCCACAGGGAAGGCGGAAGUCCCUGGGUCCCGGGCUCCCGGGACCUUUAGCUCCUUCCCUCGCGGGGUAUGGGACUCGUCUGCUAGGUGCCGGGGGGGCUGCGUGGCGGGGGCGGGGCUCUAGUUCGAUCGGGGCAGUAAGUCUCCGGAAGACCCUUUUGCUUUUUGUUUUGUUUUUUGUCGGGGGGAAGGGGCGGGUUACGGUCCGAGGUGGCUGAGCGGGGGCUGGAGGUAGGAUUCUUGUCGCCUUAACCCUCCCGGUUCCCUGUGCCUUCCCGGGCCUAGCGAGGGGAUGUCCCAGCGGAAAGGAAAUGGAGGGACACUGGUGCACCUGCCGCCCCCCGCCCAUCCCCGGGUGAAUGACGCCCCGUCCUCUGCACACACGGCCUCUGACGCCUUGAGAGUCAAUUUAGAAGCCUGAACCCAUCCCCGGGGGGCUGUAGUAGAGACCGUGCGAGCGCCUGCGGGACACCAGUCACGGUCAGUAAAGGCGAGUUGCUUUGGGCCGGCUGUGAGCUGCACAGCAGCCUUCGGGCAUGGAACGUGACCUGCAGGAGUCCCCCCCUCAUCUAGGAGGAGGAAAGUGGGCGGUGGAAGAGGACAUACAGGGUGCUGGAUUCUGCCUUCGAAUCUGAACUUGGACACUUAGCUAGCAGGGUGAUCCCGGCAAGUUCUCAUCUCUAAGAUGGGGAUUCCAGCGCUUCAGGGGGUUGUAGCGAAGAACAAAUGAGAACAUGGAACAAGUUCAUGCACACAAAUAGUUGUCGCCAUGUAGAGAAUGGCAGCUAGAAACCGUAUGAGUUAAGAAAUGCAAACUUUUUGUACACAAAAAAAAUUGGUGAUUCCCCCCAAAAUUAUUAGAAUGAAAUGUUUGUUGUUUCCCAGAAAGAUUAUCGUAUAUUUUGAAAACUACUGGUCUAGCUAGAUAGGGGUAGUUAUAAUAGAAGGGAAUAGGAGAUAAUCAUCCUGGGGAACUUAUGGUCUAUAUAUGGAGUGAUAGAGUACCAGAGAGAAAUGGGAAGGUAGCAGCCAAGCCCCGUGGGUAUCUUACCCUUAUUUCCAAAGGAAAAUGAAGACUGCCAUGAGGGAUAUCUUAUUUCCACUUAACUGGCCCGUGAUUCUACCUACCCAGAGUAGAGUUCAAUCCUAAAAGAUUAAUGAUUGAAGUUUCAGCCUUGCAUACUUGGAAGAGCCUUUGUGGAGAAAAUGCACAAAUGCGUCCAGAUGAAUUACCCCUCUCCGGAGCACAGGUGUGCACCCCCCACCCCCCCUGGUUCUGAUGCCCUAAAAGGCAGGUUAGAAGGGUGAUUUGGAACUUAAAACAUGAAGAAGUGCUCAUGCAUUUCCCUCUCCAGGAUGUAAGGGGCAGUACUGCCUACUCAGCUGCUCCACUUUUUUCAUUAAGAGGACAACUGAAAAAUAACAAAUGCACCAGGGAUCCCUGUCCUUUCAUUAAUUACUCAUUUCAGUAAUGCUUUGUGGUUUACAAAGGCUCUUUCCUGGAAACACCCCUGUUACAAUAAGUAUUAUCUCUCUCUCUCAGUGAGAAAACCACUGUGCUAUGUCUCGCCUUACCGCGUUAGAGCCAGGUGUGCAGGGACCUGAUUCUCCUGCCUGGAUGCCCACCUCUCCAUGGGUUUCUCAGGGUGUUUAACCUCCCUCCAGAUGCUGAGGUAGGACACUCCCUGCAGACCUGGACACUAGCUACAGUCACACAUCUCAGCCAGCCCGACCCGUUCACACGGCUACUCACAAGGCUGAGAUGCAGCAGUUAAGGAGCUUGGGCUGGCCCACGAGCUUCAGCCUGCGGAAAUGGGCUGCCUGCACCAGUGCCUCCUCACAGCCCUCGGCUGAUUCCGGACCCACAGACUCAGUCCAAGGGCCAAGAGCUAGGCGAGCAGACCACGAGGGAUGUCUCCUGGGCGAGCAGAGGCCUCUCAGGGCUAACAUGGCUUUUGGCUGACAGCACAUCGAGCGACUUCGCAAGAAAUGGAUGGCAUCCCAGGAGGAUGGCCUCAGUAAAUUGGCCAAGGUGUCCCAUUGAGCAGCCCUAAAGGGAAGGCAAUCCUCAGACCUCUUCAGGGGGUAGCUAGGGGGAAAGACUUGGGCCUAGGUCUCCUUCCCACUCUCCUCAGAAACUAACCCUGUUGUGUGCCAUCUUCUUGCUGCUCAUUAUGAUCCCCAAGAGGGGCAGGGAAAAGAGGGGGGGACUUGACCAGAAUAAUUGGGCCUUACAGAGUUUUGGCUGCCUUGCCACCACUCCCAACUGGCUGUUUAGCUUGGAAGGAAAAGAUUAGAGGGGAAAAGGGGUUCAACUUCAUCUCCAAGUUUACCCACUUUCUAUGCCAUGGAUAGAGUACCCAAACUUUAUGCUGGAUGAAAAACCCCAAGAGGACUUAAUCAAUUUUAAAAUAAAAAUCCAACUUUUCAAAUGAUUGCUACAAGCUUAUCUCUGGUUUCUGGA